Molecule: ribosomal RNA, 513 nt
Filed under: uncultured bacterium
Lineage: Bacteria
Description: bacterial SSU rRNA
Rfam family: Bacterial small subunit ribosomal RNA
Source: RNAcentral
CUUAGCAGAGAUGCUUUGGUGCCUUCGGGAACUCUGAGACAGGUGCUGCAUGGCUGUCGUCAGCUCGUGUUGUGAAAUGUUGGGUUAAGUCCCGCAACGAGCGCAACCCUUAUCCUUUGUUGCCAGCGGCUCGGCCGGGAACUCAAAGGAGACUGCCGGUGAUAAACCGGAGGAAGGUGGGGAUGACGUCAAGUCAUCAUGGCCCUUACGGCCAGGGCUACACACGUGCUACAAUGGCGCAUACAAAGAGAAGCGACCUCGCGAGAGCAAGCGGACCUCAUAAAGUGCGUCGUAGUCCGGAUUGGAGUCUGCAACUCGACUCCAUGAAGUCGGAAUCGCUAGUAAUCGUAGAUCAGAAUGCUACGGUGAAUACGUUCCCGGGCCUUGUACACACCGCCCGUCACACCAUGGGAGUGGGUUGCAAAAGAAGUAGGUAGCUUAACCUUCGGGAGGGCGCUUACCACUUUGUGAUUCAUGACUGGGGUGAAGUCGUAACAAGGUAAGCGUAGUGCU